RNAcentral lists this ribosomal RNA (391 nucleotides) under uncultured bacterium. RNAcentral's name for it is "bacterial SSU rRNA". It matches the Rfam family "Bacterial small subunit ribosomal RNA", at positions 28 to 424 of the family's 1533-position model. The record is from RNAcentral.
GACGAACGCUGGCGGCGUGCUUAACACAUGCAAGUCGAGCGGUAAGGCCCUUUCGGGGGUACACGAGCGGCGAACGGGUGAGUAACACGUGGGUGACCUGCCCUCAGCUCUGGGAUAAGCCUGGGAAACCGGGUCUAAUACCGGAUAUGACUCCAUGACGCAUGUUGUGGGGUGGAAAGCCUUGUGCGGCUGAGGAUGGGCCCGCGGCCUAUCAGCUUGUUGGUGGGGUGAGGCCUACCAAGGCGACGACGGGUAGCCGGCCUGAGAGGGCGACCGGCCACACUGGGACUGAGACACGGCCCAGACUCCUACGGGAGCCAGCAGUGGGGAAUCUUGCGCAAUGGGCGAAAGCCUGACGCAGCGACGCCGCGUGAGGGAUGACGGCCUGGUU